Molecule: ribosomal RNA, 445 nt
Filed under: uncultured bacterium
Lineage: Bacteria
Description: bacterial SSU rRNA
Rfam family: Bacterial small subunit ribosomal RNA
Source: RNAcentral
GUGAGGAAUAUUGCGCAAUGGAGGCAACUCUGACGCAGCCAUGCCGCGUGCAGGAAGAAGGCGCUACGCGUUGUAAACUGCUUUUAACCGGGAAGAAACCCCAGGACGUGUCCUGGGUUGACGGUACCGGAGGAAUAAGCACCGGCUAACUUCGUGCCAGCAGCCGCGGUAAUACGAAGGGUGCAAGCGUUAUCCGGAUUCAUUGGGUUUAAAGGGUGCGUAGGCGGAGCGUUAAGUCAGUGGUGAAAUCCUGCAGCUUAACUGUAGACUUGCCAUUGAUACUGGCGCUCUUGAGUGCGCUUGAAGUGGGCGGAAUGUGCCGUGUAGCGGUGAAAUGCUUAGAUAUGGCACAGAACACCAAUUGCGAAGGCAGCUCACUAAGGCGAUACUGACGCUGAGGCACGAAAGCGUGGGGAGCAAACAGGAUUAGAAACCCGAGUAGUCC